RNAcentral lists this ribosomal RNA (345 nucleotides) under uncultured Hydrogenophaga sp. Its description in RNAcentral is "bacterial SSU rRNA". It matches the Rfam family "Bacterial small subunit ribosomal RNA", at positions 1031 to 1382 of the family's 1533-position model. The record is from RNAcentral. Lineage: Bacteria; Pseudomonadati; Pseudomonadota; Betaproteobacteria; Burkholderiales; Comamonadaceae.
AACACAGGUGCUGCAUGGCUGUCGUCAGCUCGUGUCGUGAGAUGUUGGGUUAAGUCCCGCAACGAGCGCAACCCUUGUCAUUAGUUGCUACGAAAGGGCACUCUAAUGAGACUGCCGGUGACAAACCGGAGGAAGGUGGGGAUGACGUCAAGUCCUCAUGGCCCUUAUGGGUAGGGCUACACACGUCAUACAAUGGCCGGUACAAAGGGCAGCCAACCCGCGAGGGGGAGCCAACCCCGUAAAGCCGGUCGUAGUCCGGAUCGCAGUCUGCAACUCGACUGCGUGAAGUCGGAAUCGCUAGUAAUCGUGAAUCAGCAUGUCACGGUGAAUACGUUCCCGGGUCUU